GAGCCUCUAACGGCCGCUCAGCCGUAGCUCCUGAAUGCCCGUGGCUGCUCCCGAGCUGUGCGUGUACCCCCGGGGAUGCUGUGGGGCGGGCUGGGUUUUGCCUGCGUGGCCUCUUCCCAAGAGUGCCAAGGGAGACGAGAGCUGGCAGCACACUUCCUUUUCCGUCCUCAAUGCCGAUGUCAUUUUCUCAAGUGGACCUUGUUCCCACAGCUCUCUGAUGACACCAAACAGCACAGCGAGGCUGAGAGCAUGGAGAUGACCCACUGCAUCCUGCUGCAGGCCCGCAUCUGCCCAGAGGAAACGGUCCCGUUUCUGCAGUCGCAGCUGGGCGAUGAGAGGGAGUCCAGACGCGUGGCAGCCCUGGGUCUGCUCGGAGCUCUGGCUCGCUCAGAUGAGCCCGUGAUGGCAGAGAAGCUGCCCCAGGUUGUGGAGGCUGUGCAGUGCCUGUGCGGGGACCCCAGGACCCAGGUGAGCUGGUUUGGGAAGGGAAAGCGCUGUCGGGGUGGUGAUGCUGCUGCCAAAAGGGGCAGGGCUGGGGUGCCCGGGGAAGUGCUGGCACAUUGCCCACACGGUCGCCAUGGCUUCUGCUGGGGGGAGCAGGCAGAGUGGAGUGGGCAGGUCCCCGUGCUGUGCAUGGAAAGCGCCCAGCCUGGGGCUAAGGCCUGACCCAUACCUCUGAAGCCCAGGCUUCUCCUCUGCUCUGGUUGUCUCCGCGCACAACCAAAGGGCCCAAAAAAUCAAAACCACCACUGACCCCUGGCAGGUGAGGAGGGCCGUACUGCA
RNAcentral lists this long non-coding RNA (783 nucleotides) under Numida meleagris (helmeted guineafowl). RNAcentral's name for it is "lncRNA (ENSNMEG00000018463.1)". The record is from RNAcentral. Lineage: Eukaryota; Metazoa; Chordata; Aves; Galliformes; Numididae.